Molecule: ribosomal RNA, 362 nt
Filed under: Salmonella enterica subsp. enterica serovar Weltevreden
Lineage: Bacteria; Pseudomonadati; Pseudomonadota; Gammaproteobacteria; Enterobacterales; Enterobacteriaceae
Also listed under: 2 other names
Description: partial 23S ribosomal RNA
Rfam family: Bacterial large subunit ribosomal RNA
Source: RNAcentral
UGAGGGAAAGGCGAAAAGAACCCCGGCGAGGGGAGUGAAAAAGAACCUGAAACCGUGUACGUACAAGCAGUGGGAGCCCCACCACCAAAGCAUUCUCUGGUGUUGAAGGCCCUGCAAAGCAGCAUCGCGGUGGCGGAGCGUCGUUUGCGACGCCCAACACACAAAACAAGCGGUGAGUGCUUUGGGGUGGGGUGACUGCGUACCUUUUGUAUAAUGGGUCAGCGACUUAUAUUCUGUAGCAAGGUUAACCGAAUAGGGGAGCCGGAGGGAAACCGAGUCUUAACCGGGCGUUAAGUUGCAGGGUAUAGACCCGAAACCCGGUGAUCUAGCCAUGGGCAGGUUGAAGGUUGGGUAACACUAAC